This 437-nucleotide ribosomal RNA is filed under the name uncultured bacterium. RNAcentral describes it as "partial 16S ribosomal RNA". It matches the Rfam family "Bacterial small subunit ribosomal RNA", at positions 29 to 507 of the family's 1533-position model. The record is from RNAcentral.
AGCGAACGCUGGCGGCAGGCUUAACACAUGCAAGUCGAGCGGGCAUCCUUGUGGUGUCCGCGGCAGACGGGUGAGUAACGCGUGGGAACGAGCCCUUCGGUUCGGAAUAACUCAGGGAAACUUGAGCUAAUACCGGAUACGUGCGAGAGCAGAAAGGAUUAUCUGACGAAGGAUCGGCCCGCGUCUGAUUAGUUAGUUGGUGAGGUUACGGCUCACCAAGGCGACGAUCAGUAGCUGGUCUGAGAGGAUGAUCAGCCACACUGGGGCUGGGACACGGCCCAGACUCCUACGGGAGGCAGCAGUGGGGAAUAUUGGACAAUGGGGGCAACCCUGAACCAGCCAGGCCGCGUGAGUGAUGACGGCCUUAGGGUUGUAAAGCUCUUUUCUCCGGGACGAUAAUGACGGUACCGGAGGAAUAAGCCCCGGCUAACUUCGUG